GGGGAAUGCAUAGUGUGGUGGACGCCUGCCUGGUUUUUGUAGUUUUUUUUCUUUCCCCCCCCCUUGUUUGAAGUUUUGGCCAUUCAUUUGUUCUUGAAGACUUCUAUUGUUUUGGCUUUUUUGGAUUAAUAGAAGGCAGUAGUUCAAACAUUUUGUUGUUUUGUCCUGUCUGUCCACCACAUGAGCAAGCGGCUACCCCGAAGCCCUGCCUCACGUUGGAGGAGAAUGCAGACAUAGUGCCCCCUGGUGGAAAAAAAAAAAAAAAAACAGAAAAAAAGAGGAAGCUAUUCCACGUCGGCGGCACUGCACUCUUGCUUCUGAGCCCUCUUCUGGUUGCUGAGGCCUGGGAAAACCUUUGGCUAGAAGACUGUUAAUGCCACAGAAGAAGACAAUGCCCUCUGACAUCCAUGAACAACAGAAAUGAAAGGUUUCAGCCCCUGCACUCUUGGGACACAUUAGAGCUCUGUUUGGAUUGUGUACAGAAAGUGUGGGCUUCCUCGCUGCAGCUCCCUCCCCUGCUGCAGCUGCCCCCCGCGAAUUGAGGACAUUAUGCUAAAAUGGAUGCAAACCAUUCGUUCCCCGGAUUACCAGGACACCCGUUGCUGUAUAAACAAUGAACUUAUUUUGGAUUUUUCCAGCAAAAAGAAAACUACAAACUAGGCAGAAGGAUCCGAUGUAUCUAUUACUGAGCUUACAUGAAAGGUGGAGAGGUAUGGAAAUUACAAUUCACCUGGUGCAUAAUGACAGAAAAGAAUUGUCCGUGUCACGAAACAAAUUGCUUCAUCCGUCCUUAUGUGUCAAGUAUGAACCCACUUACUUUUCCAGGGACAUUGUCAAUGUGUUAAAGUUUCAUUAAUGCAAUAUUUUCCACUGCUACUAUAAUAUUUAGAUGACAAGACUGAUUAUUCAGCUCCAGUGAAAAAGGAAAUAUAAGAACAAGACAACGUCAUCUUCACCUAUUUUUGUUGAAUUAUGCAGUGUAAUUAGUGUAUAUAAUCCAUCUACAACUUGGAAUCAUAGGGCCCAAUAACAGAAUUCAGAACUUUUAUAAUAACUUAAAUAUACUUUUUCUUGUUUACAGUUUAAUUUUACAAUUCCAGUUACAUUUUAUGUGCUUGAUCAUAAUUACUUUAUAUGUUAAUCAUCACAUAAUCACGCAGUAUUUAAACGUGCAGUUAAAAAGUCUAAUUUCUUAUUGAUUUACACAGAUAAUGAAAAUGGAAUGUAAAACCUAUCAACAAUUGAUCAUCCAUGGUAUUAUUUUUAUUAAAACUGGAUUAAUCACACCACCAGUAAUCUUCUAUAAAUAGGGAUCCUAAAGAUGCUUCUCUAGAAGAUACUUUCAGAUCACGAUCACAUCCCAUAUCCACAGUGUCUACUUUGAUUACAUAGUUUUGAAUAAGGUGAAUGAGGGAAGCAGUUACCAGUAGAAUAAUCAUGGUUUUGGUGUUUGCCCGUUUUAAAACGUACACUCCCUGGCUAUAUCUUUUUAAAAUGUAUGUUUUUUUCAGUUAGCUGAAGGAAACAUACGGUUGUAAUAAUGGAAGGCAUACUGUAUUCUGUUUUACCCGCUUGAGUGUCUAUCCAGCUAGUAGCAAUCACUAUACUCAUUACUAAUAUAAAUAUAACCUCCCUUCAUGUAAAAUGUAAUAUAAUUAUUGGGCAAACAAAAUGACAAGGUACCUGGUGUCAAAUGAAAUUCUGGUUACGCCAGUUGGGUUAAGCUGGAUGAGAAAUUCAUAUAAAGCUCUGAUAAACUGCCCACUUUCAGCUAUGCGACCAAAUGAGGUUGCUGUGGUCCUUUGUCUUGAAUAAUGAAUACAUCCCCAAAGCAGGGAUGUUUGCUAAAUAGCAGGAUCCUCUGUAGUUCACUUCUUCUGCUUCACUGCUCUCGCACACUCAGUGAGAGAGGAGGGCACACAUGAGUCAGACUCAUGGUGCGUUCUCUGUUCACAGGAGGCAUUUGGCUACAUUCGAUAUUGAAAACCUGUAUUUUGAACUGUGUUGACAACAGUUGCAGCAGUCAAACCGUUUCAUUCAAACAAAAUGUGUUAUUAUGCCUCUUUUCGAGUCCUCAGAAUUACAACACUGUCGCUUGGCAAACAAAAGGCAAUUUCAGACAUAGUGGUUAUACUUGUUUUAGUGUUUCUAUUUCAACCUCUUUGUAGUCAGAAGGUGUAAUCUCUCAUGGACAUGUAGCUCAUAAGGGUCAUGGAUAGGGCACUUUCUGUUCUGUCUGGUAGAUGAUCCAGAGUAAUCUGUGCUUUCAGGAUAAAUGGUUUUACUCUUUCUGAUGUACUGUAGAUUAUUAUUAGAAUGUGCGUGCUUCUGUGUGUAGGUGUGUGCAAUAUUCAUGCGCAAUACUUAACAUUUAUCCGUGUCUUGUUCAGUAUGAUUAUUUUAAUAUGAGACAUGUGGAGAAGCCACAGAGCUUAGCUACAGAGCUUUGGACAAUACUGCCAUUGAGUAUGUGCUAUUUUAUUUUGUCAACCACUAUUCCAAAUUUCAGAUAUUUAAGUGGCAGAAUGGUGAACAUUUCAGAGCAUUUGUAUUUCAGGCAUACUUAUGUGUCAGUAAUGGUCAGGACAUUUAUUCUCGGAACACAUUCUGUGAUUAAAGUGUGUUUUCUGUUUCUAUUUGUAUUUUUUAAAUCAUCCAUCAAAAAAUGUAUUUUACAUCAUGAGGCUGCAGAUAAUACUUACUGUGAAUUGUGCUCUUUGUUUGGCAUUGCUGCAGAAUCACAACUAUUUAUCAUUGAUUUAUUUGCACCCCACAUUUCAGAAUUGGCAUUCCACCCAGUAAGCCGUUCACAGGGAUUUUGCCUCUUUGAGAGUCCUUGUCACCCAGGUGGAUUGGUAGGCAUGACUUUUUUGAUGUGUUUUUAAUGUGAAGAGGGUUGGCCCACAUCUGCAAGGUAUGCACCCAUCACUCUGUCAAAAAACUGCAUAACGAUUUUGCAUCCUGAAAUCUCCAAAGACUUCACAAGACCGCAGAAGACAUAUUGAUAUUCACCAGUAGGAGGCCUUUAAUUUUGCAUAAUAAAAUUGUGAUAUGAUACAUAU
Long non-coding RNA from Anguilla rostrata (American eel), 3062 nucleotides. RefSeq lists it as uncharacterized. NCBI's taxonomy places the organism in Eukaryota, Metazoa, Chordata, Actinopteri, Anguilliformes, Anguillidae. The transcript is spliced from 3 exons. The record is from RefSeq and is a predicted model, not a curated record.